AUGGCGGGAUCUGUUUUUGUGCUGCACCCGGGGGCUGUGAGCCAAGAUACUCAGUACUUCGGUGCGGGCACCAGGCUCUCGGUGCUAGCGGCGGCGCAAACUUUCGGCUCCGGCAGCCGGCUGACCUGGGAGUUUGCGAGCUGGGCUGUGCCUCCGUGCUCCUAUGAGCAGUACUUCGGUCCCGGCACCAAGCUCACGGUCACAGAGGACCUGGCAAACGUGAGCCCACCCCAGGUCGCCAUGUUUGAGCCAUCAGAAGCAGAGAUCGCCAGCACCCAGAAGGCCACGCUCGUGUGCCUGGCCAAAGACUUCUACCCUGACCACGUGGAGCUGAGCUGGUGGGUGAACGGGAAGGAGGUCCACAAUGGGGUCAGCACGGACCCCCAGCCCUACAGGGAGGAUGCCGAUUCCAGUCACUCCAAAUACUGGCUGAGCAGCCGCCUGAGGGUGUCAGCUGCCUUCUGGCACAACCCCCGCAACCACUUCCGCUGCCAAGUCCAGUUCUUUGGACUCACGGAGGACGACGAGUGGACUUACAACGGUAGUAAACCCGUCACCCAGAACAUCAGUGCUCACACCUGGGGCAGAGCGGACUGUGGCAUCAGCUCGGCAUCCUAUCAGCAAGGGGUCCUGUCUGCUACCGUCCUCUAUGAAAUCCUGCUGGGGAAGGCCACCCUGUACGCUGUGCUGGUCAGCGCCCUGGUGCUGAUGGCCAUGGUCAAGAAAAAGAAUCCCUGAAGCCACUCCACACGGGUACCUGAGUCAUUCUUCGCCCUCACCCUGGAUUCCCCGGCACUUGUUACUGAUUUGUGCUCCUGAAAAGUUGUUCCCUCUGCACCUCUCAUCCUCUUUCUGCUGGGCUAUUUGUUUUCCUCUCUGCUGCCCCACAGACUGAGCUCCUAUCUCUGAAUGUGAAAUAGAAUGAACAA
Molecule: non-coding RNA, 929 nt
Organism: Lepus europaeus (European hare)
Lineage: Eukaryota; Metazoa; Chordata; Mammalia; Lagomorpha; Leporidae
Source: the annotation of a RefSeq genome assembly